UCUCGAAUAGCUCAGUCGGUUAGAGCAUCUGACUGUUAAUCAGAGGGUCGCUGGUUCGAGCCCAGCUUCGAGAGCCU
Molecule: transfer RNA, 77 nt
Filed under: Runella sp. SP2
Lineage: Bacteria; Pseudomonadati; Bacteroidota; Cytophagia; Cytophagales; Spirosomataceae
Description: tRNA-Asn
Rfam family: tRNA
About the family: Transfer RNA (tRNA) molecules are approximately 80 nucleotides in length. Their secondary structure includes four short double-helical elements and three loops (D, anti-codon, and T loops).
Source: RNAcentral